UAGGGAAUCUUCCACAAUGGACGCAAGUCUGAUGGAGCAACGCCGCGUGAGUGAAGAAGGUCUUCGGAUCGUAAAACUCUGUUGUUAGAGAAGAACACGAGUGAGAGUAACUGUUCAUUCGAUGACGGUAUCUAACCAGCAAGUCACGGCUAACUACGUGCCAGCAGCCGCGGUAAUACGUAGGUGGCAAGCGUUGUCCGGAUUUAUUGGGCGUAAAGGGAACGCAGGCGGUCUUUUAAGUCUGAUGUGAAAGCCUUCGGCUUAACCGGAGUAGUGCAUUGGAAACUGGAAGACUUGAGUGCAGAAGAGGAGAGUGGAACUCCAUGUGUAGCGGUGAAAUGCGUAGAUAUAUGGAAGAACACCAGUGGCGAAAGCGGCUCUCUGGUCUGUAACUGACGCUGAGGUUCGAAAGCGUGGGUAGCAAACAGGAUUAGAUACCCUGGUAGUCCACGCCGUAAACGAUGAAUGCUAGGUGUUGGAGGGUUUCCGCCCUUCAGUGCCGCAGCUAACGCAAUAAGCAUUCCGCCUGGGGAGUACGACCGCAAGGUUG
RNAcentral lists this ribosomal RNA (550 nucleotides) under uncultured bacterium. RNAcentral's name for it is "bacterial SSU rRNA". It matches the Rfam family "Bacterial small subunit ribosomal RNA", at positions 355 to 896 of the family's 1533-position model. The record is from RNAcentral.